This is a small nucleolar RNA of Lemur catta (Ring-tailed lemur), 104 nucleotides long. RefSeq annotates it as small nucleolar RNA U13. NCBI's taxonomy places the organism in Eukaryota, Metazoa, Chordata, Mammalia, Primates, Lemuridae. The transcript has a single exon. The record is from RefSeq and is a predicted model, not a curated record.
AUCCUUUUGUAGUUCCUAAGUGUGAUGAUUGAGUGUUCGUGCAGAUGUGUGAUGUGUGCUUGCCUCAAACCUUGUUACGACAUCGGCACGUUACCCACCUGACA